GGAGAGGUGUCAGAGCGGCUGAAUGAGCACGCUUGGAAAGCGUGUGUGUCGGCAACGGCACCGGGGGUUCGAAUCCCCCCCUCUCCGCCA
Molecule: transfer RNA, 90 nt
Filed under: bacterium
Lineage: Bacteria
Also listed under: 3 other names
Description: tRNA-Ser
Rfam family: tRNA
About the family: Transfer RNA (tRNA) molecules are approximately 80 nucleotides in length. Their secondary structure includes four short double-helical elements and three loops (D, anti-codon, and T loops).
Source: RNAcentral